GUCAACAACAACAACAUGCUCAGUGAGAUGUAAACAAAUGUACUUCCUGCUUAAAGCAGCCGGAAUUUGAUAGAUUUCAACGGUGGGUUUAAAUAAGUUAGCAGUGCAAAAAAGUUCAAUGGUUGGGACUGAAGGCCUUGUUUUGAGGGUGUUUUGCAGACCAGUGGUUGUCGGCCUGGUGAUUUUCAAGAAAAACUGUAGACUGCCCCCUUAAGGUUGGGACUGAAGGCCUUGUUUUGAGGGUGUUUUGCAGACCAGUGGUUGUCGGCCUGGUGAUUUUCAAGAAAAACUGUAGACUGCCCCCUUCGUAUUUGUGCGUCGUUGUGUCUUUGUGCGAUUUAGCAGCAGUUAGUAGGACCG
Molecule: long non-coding RNA, 360 nt
Organism: Dreissena polymorpha
Lineage: Eukaryota; Metazoa; Mollusca; Bivalvia; Myida; Dreissenidae
Exons: 3
Source: RefSeq, a predicted model, not a curated record